Molecule: small RNA, 28 nt
Filed under: Bombyx mori (domestic silkworm)
Lineage: Eukaryota; Metazoa; Arthropoda; Insecta; Lepidoptera; Bombycidae
Description: ovarian small RNA-30509
Source: RNAcentral
UGAAAGUGCUGGUAUAAAUCUCGGUAAA